Molecule: ribosomal RNA, 253 nt
Filed under: uncultured bacterium
Lineage: Bacteria
Description: partial 16S ribosomal RNA
Rfam family: Bacterial small subunit ribosomal RNA
Source: RNAcentral
UACAGAGGGUGCAAGCGUUGUUCGGAAUUAUUGGGCGUAAAGGGCGUGUAGGCGGUCUGCUAAGUCAUGUGUGAAAUCCCUCGGCUUAACCGAGGAACGACGCAUGAAACUGGCAAGCUAGAGUACCAAAGAGGGGGGUGGAAUUCCCGGUGUAGCGGUGAAAUGCGUAGAUAUCUGGAGGAACACCGGUGGCGAAGGCGGCAUCCUGGACCAAUAUUGACGCUGAGGAGCGAAAGCCAGGGGAGCAAACGGG